UCCCUGGAGGAGUAGUGGUUAGACCACAGCGCUCUCACUGCUGUGGCCCAGGUUCAAUUCCCAGCCAGGGAA
RNAcentral lists this transfer RNA (72 nucleotides) under Pangasius djambal. Its description in RNAcentral is "tRNA-Glu". It matches the Rfam family "tRNA". From Rfam's summary of the family: Transfer RNA (tRNA) molecules are approximately 80 nucleotides in length. Their secondary structure includes four short double-helical elements and three loops (D, anti-codon, and T loops). Further hydrogen bonds mediate the characteristic L-shaped molecular structure. tRNAs have two regions of fundamental functional importance: the anti-codon, which is responsible for specific mRNA codon recognition, and the 3' end, to which the tRNAs corresponding amino acid is attached (by aminoacyl-tRNA synthetases). tRNAs cope with the degeneracy of the genetic code in two manners: having more than one tRNA (with a specific anti-codon) for a particular amino acid; and 'wobble' base-pairing, i.e. permitting non-standard base-pairing at the 3rd anti-codon position. The record is from RNAcentral. Lineage: Eukaryota; Metazoa; Chordata; Actinopteri; Siluriformes; Pangasiidae.